GAUGAAGAACGUAGCGAAAUGCGAUAAGUAGUGUGAAUUGCAGAAUUCAGUGAAUCAUCGAAUCUUUGAACGCACAUUGCGCCUCCUGGUAUUCCGGGAGGCAUGCCUGUUCGAGCGUCAUUAAAAUCACUCAAGCUUAGGUUUACCUAUUGCUUGGUCUUGGAGAUGGAAGCCAAUUUAUUGGAAUCCUCUUCGAAAUUCAAUGGCGAAGACCCUUGCUCUCCCAAGUGUAGUAAUAACUUAUGUCACUGAAGGAAGCGAGAAAUCUUCUGCCGUAACCUCCAUAUUUUCUAUGAUUGACCUCGGAUCAGGUAGGGAUACCCGCUGAACUUAAGCAUAUCAAUAAGCGGAGGA
RNAcentral lists this unclassified non-coding RNA (354 nucleotides) under soil metagenome. RNAcentral describes it as "partial contains 5.8S ribosomal RNA, internal transcribed spacer 2, and large subunit ribosomal RNA". The stretch from base 1 to 120 matches the Rfam family "5.8S ribosomal RNA", at positions 35 to 154 of the family's 154-position model. The record is from RNAcentral.